This 2644-nucleotide ribosomal RNA is filed under the name Triticum aestivum (bread wheat). RNAcentral describes it as "partial small subunit ribosomal RNA". The record is from RNAcentral. Lineage: Eukaryota; Viridiplantae; Streptophyta; Magnoliopsida; Poales; Poaceae.
CACAGGUGCACCCGUAGUCCCCGACCGCUCCCGUGACAAAACAGCGAGCUAUUAAAGACUACCCGCGUCAUUUCUUCCGGAGUGUGUGCGCCGGGUUGGGGCGUGAGGUGCGAGAGAGGUAGGGGUGUGCGUUGGAGAGGAGAAGAGCAAAGAGGAGACGGAGUGGCGGCGGCGGUGACGAAGGGGAAGUGGGGAUGGAGUGCCUUUUGCCGCCGCUACUCCUCCCAGCCGCGAACCGCGUAUGGGCGCGGGGGCUGGCACCGUCGCAGGAGCGCCCCGGUCCGAAGGGCAGGCGCGGCGCUGCGGCGGCCGUUCCUCCGGACCCGAGCCUGUCGGAGGCGCCGCAGCUCACGCGGCCACUCCACAGACCCUUGGCGCACCGCCCCUUGACCGCGACGAAGACCAACACCCAAGGCCGCUGCGGUUCGGCAUGUAGACUCGGCGGCGGAGGUUAAACAAAGGAGGUACAAAGUCGAGGUCCACAGUGCACACAGGAAGUAGCCGAUAGGGAGGAAUGCCAACAACGGCGCAGGCGGACGACGCCCAGGAGGCACAAGCACUGACAACACAGCCGCAGCUUUCUUAAAGAGGACGUCAGUCCAUAGCGAGGGUUGUGUCCGCAGAAAAAAAACCCCCCAGCUAGUUCAAAAGGGAACAACCGAUGGCUAAAGUAUGCUCGCGGUAGUGGUACGACUAACACGAUGACCAUCCCGAGAGUCAACCCAACUUAAAGUCGUGUCUGGGAAAAAAAACGUUCGUUCUUGGCUACUCGGAUUAACUUUAUCAUCUAGCAACCUCAUUUCGAUGUAGGCAAACCAAGGACUUCCUUAAUUAGUCGACCAAUGUAUCAUAAAUCGUAGCCGGAUGCCACGUCCUAAACAAUCUAAAUAAAAGACACAUUAAAAAUAAACAGGUCAUUCUUAGUCCAAUCACAACCAUGGCUCUCUUUUUAUUUGCUGGGUGUUUUUAAUUACUAUACCGGCACCACAAGGGGUCAAACCACGUACGGUUCCUUCCUUCAGGACAUAAAUCUGGACUAGAACAUUAAUAAAACCACGGACGGGUCUUAUCGUCACACGCGAGUACACCAUUCAUGUCAUUCGGUUGAGACCAUCGAACGAAUCAUGACCUUUUCCUUAUUCGUCCAACACUCUAAGGAUUGUUGGGAAAAACACAACUAGUUUAACCACUAUACACGAUCGACCCAUAAUUAUUUCUAAGAGACCAUGAAAAAACACACUUCAGACACAAAGAGUCACAGCAACGGAGCACACAAAGGCCAGAGAAGACGAAAUACUUACUCUACCAACAGUAGAGGGUAAGUGCAACCGGCGAACCAGUACACGCUGACAUAUCUACCAACAACCACACUACAACAAGCAACCAAACAACAACUACAAUUAGACGAAUAUCGGACAAACAACAAUACAGCACCGUUCUACACGAGAGCUACAGUACAAAAUAAAACUAAAAAACACCAAGAUCGGCCACGAAUUAAAAACAGGUGCAUAAAUACCGAUUUCAGGUACGUAUGUAUGAGUACCUAAACUAAAACACGAUACCGGGAACACUUGUUAGUUCGAUAGUCCACUCUUAGCUAAGCACCGAGAAAUACACCAAGAAGCCUGAGUGUGAGACAAGGGAAAGAAAAACAUGGAGGAUAAAUACCCGAGUGAAAACAAGCACUCAGCUAGUUCCUGGUCUACCCACAGAACACGAGUAGAGGCCUAUGCCUAGACAUAGGAAGAGACACAUUCCUCUUCUUCUACUUCACUAUAGUAAAAGAAGCACCAACGACAAUAUUUAAAACGAUAUUGUUCCAUCGAGUACACAACAUAAGGACAAACCAUCUGUACAGGACGAAGGUUCCUAACAAGAAGACGAGUGUCCAACGUAAGGACAACGAAGUGUUACAAACAUAAAUGGUAUAAUGAGGAGUUACGGUACUCAACCCUCGUCGAGGUUAAGGUAGUCUACAUGUACUCGAUAUACAACUAUUCGAGCGCAUAGUCAACCGCCUACAAGAACUAAAGAAGUCAAAUCCCAGACACUACACGUACCCACAGUGGCGGCCACGGAUAUACGAAUAGAAGAAACGUCAUGCACAAACGUGCUAAUCCGAAAGAAGUUCAAGAUGUCUUUGUUGUACGGAACUGUCUAGUUCCCUCAGGCAUUGAAGGACACCACCGCUCCUCGUGUAUUAGGCAGGCGGUAUAAGUUUUCCGGUUCCGCGGGGAAGUUGUUGUGCGCGUGAGUUCUAUCAUCGGACCUGACAAAGACAUUCAGCGAGUAUCGAUUUGAGAUGACACGUUUUCGACAACGACCUCUUGCACCAUACAUUUGGAAGUACCAUUGGUGGCCGCAUUCAUUUCGUUACUGAGUAGUUACGAGACAGCGCUCUGGAACUACUCGGGAAAUGAAAGUCAACCUGAAGUUUUAGUUGUACCAUGUGUCGGUGUUAACGUGCCCUGUCCGGUCAGUUCGCGUUUUUUCCUAGGACGUCCGUAGUAUUAGUAGUAAUAUCAACUUAGCUUACUUGCUUACGUGUACGUCCUUCUUUUCCCCCUUUAAUGCUCUUUAUGAUACAUUAUACCAUGUACGGAGACCUCACUCAAAAACCGUCAAAAGGGAAGCGGUUCUCUUC